Molecule: non-coding RNA, 1451 nt
Organism: Sus scrofa (pig)
Lineage: Eukaryota; Metazoa; Chordata; Mammalia; Artiodactyla; Suidae
Source: RefSeq, a predicted model, not a curated record
CAGAUCCUUAACCCACUGAAUGAGGCCAGGGAUCAAACCCAAGUCUUCAUGGAUACUAGUCAGCAGUGCACGUUGAAAUCCAGGGAGGAGAGCUAUGAGAAGUGGAGGCAGAUCAUCCAGGGCCACGACAAUGUGAUGCUGGGAGAUGCUGCACAGCUUGCUGAUGUUCACGCCAAUAAGCCAGAGUUGGCUCUUUACCUGUGCAGCUUCAGGCUGGCCAUGAGACUGCAGCUGGGGCCUCAGUGAGAUUCCCGUGGCCCUUCCUGACAUCAGUGAGAAUUUGAAACCUGUGCAAAACGCAGCCAAACCCCCAGGCCAGUAGCAGGAAACAAGCAGGCUCAAGCCACAGGCUCACCCAGGGGUGGUGACCUUUGAGAACAGAAACCGCACCUUCUGAACCCAUGGCCCAGCCUGAAGCCUAGCGUGCACGAACCGAGGAGAGAAGUUGCCUGUCACCCAGGGAUAGUGGAGUUGGCUUUUCUUCAGGAACUCUUCUCUUAAUGGAAAAAAGAAAGCCACCCCAUCGACGUCAAGUGACUCUUACACAACUGCGGCAACUCCGAGAAUCGUGUAAAUAACCCCAGAACAUAUGGAUUGAAUUUCCUCAACUUAUCCAGGAAUGUAGUAAGUUACGGCCAUGGAGGAAGGCUGCCACUCGGCCCUGGCAUUCAGAACACUUGAAAGAGUGGUCUCCCCACUCCAGGGACCCCUUAGCCUGGAGCACUCCCGUCCAUCUCAAGUUCCAAGGGCUCCUGCCCUCAGCAAGGCACAGCCUGGGCUGGGUCAUGGUGGCAGCAUCCCAGGCAGCCCCCGGCCCUGCCUUCCUUCAGAGGAAGACUGUGCUUCUAACCACACAAACUGGGCAGAAUGUCUGCACAUUAGUUCAUUCAUUCAUCCAACAUUCCACCAGUAUUUAUUGAGCAUGGGGGUGGGGGUGGGUGGGGAGGAACAGCACAGUGAACAAAAAGGCAUGGUCCUGUUUUCACGUCCAGUGAAAGAACUUUCUAGCACUCCCAAGUUAUCGAAGCUUUUGAAUAGGGGCGAGUUCCCAGCAGAGGCUGACAGAGACUCAAGCAUCAGAUGAAGAAUGGGUGGCUGACCUCUGCGAUUCCUCCCAGGCGCAAGGUUUGAUGAGGUUCGCAGUCCCUGGGACGCUGCCCCAGCUCCCUUCCCACCUGUGCAGGUGGCUUCGGAUGGCACAGCUUUGGGCUGAAGGGCAUGGGGAGUCCCUGGAGAAGCAACAGUGCUUCUAGGAAAAGCAGAAACCCAUCUCUCCUGCUGAAAAAACCCUUUCCAUUCUUAUUUCGUUUUAUAUUCUGUCUUCUCUGUCUCCUCAGAAGAGAUCUGAGAACUUUCUUCUGAGUGAGGAGGAACUUGGAAGAGUAAAACACAAACACAAACAUAAAAGUUCUGGAUGAGGAGUUCCUGUCAUGGCUCAGUGGUAACAACCC